RNAcentral lists this ribosomal RNA (2923 nucleotides) under Klebsiella pneumoniae. Its description in RNAcentral is "bacterial LSU rRNA". It matches the Rfam family "Bacterial large subunit ribosomal RNA". The record is from RNAcentral. RNAcentral also lists the same sequence under 1 other name. Lineage: Bacteria; Pseudomonadati; Pseudomonadota; Gammaproteobacteria; Enterobacterales; Enterobacteriaceae.
GGGUUGUGAGGUUAAGCGACUAAGCGUACACGGUGGAUGCCCUGGCAGUCAGAGGCGAUGAAGGACGUGCUAAUCUGCGAAAAGCGUCGGUAAGGUGAUAUGAACCGUUAUAGCCGGCGAUGUCCGAAUGGGGAAACCCAGUGUGAUUCGUCACACUAUCGUUAACUGAAUACAUAGGUUAACGAGGCGAACCGGGGGAACUGAAACAUCUAAGUACCCCGAGGAAAAGAAAUCAACCGAGAUUCCCCCAGUAGCGGCGAGCGAACGGGGAGCAGCCCAGAGUCUGAAUCAGCUUGUGUGUUAGUGGAACGGUCUGGAAAGUCCGACGGUACAGGGUGAUAGUCCCGUACACCAAAAUGCACAGGCUGUGAACUCGAAGAGUAGGGCGGGACACGUGGUAUCCUGUCUGAAUAUGGGGGGACCAUCCUCCAAGGCUAAAUACUCCUGACUGACCGAUAGUGAACCAGUACCGUGAGGGAAAGGCGAAAAGAACCCCGGCGAGGGGAGUGAAAAAGAACCUGAAACCGUGUACGUACAAGCAGUGGGAGCACCUUCGGGUGUGACUGCGUACCUUUUGUAUAAUGGGUCAGCGACUUAUAUUCUGUAGCAAGGUUAACCGUAUAGGGGAGCCGCAGGGAAACCGAGUCUUAACUGGGCGUUAAGUUGCAGGGUAUAGACCCGAAACCCGGUGAUCUAGCCAUGGGCAGGUUGAAGGUUGGGUAACACUAACUGGAGGACCGAACCGACUAAUGUUGAAAAAUUAGCGGAUGACUUGUGGCUGGGGGUGAAAGGCCAAUCAAACCGGGAGAUAGCUGGUUCUCCCCGAAAGCUAUUUAGGUAGCGCCUCGUGAACUCAUCUUCGGGGGUAGAGCACUGUUUCGGCUAGGGGGUCAUCCCGACUUACCAACCCGAUGCAAACUACGAAUACCGAAGAAUGUUAUCACGGGAGACACACGGCGGGUGCUAACGUCCGUCGUGAAGAGGGAAACAACCCAGACCGCCAGCUAAGGUCCCAAAGUCAUGGUUAAGUGGGAAACGAUGUGGGAAGGCACAGACAGCCAGGAUGUUGGCUUAGAAGCAGCCAUCAUUUAAAGAAAGCGUAAUAGCUCACUGGUCGAGUCGGCCUGCGCGGAAGAUGUAACGGGGCUAAACCAUGCACCGAAGCUGCGGCAGCGACACUAUGUGUUGUUGGGUAGGGGAGCGUUCUGUAAGCCUGCGAAGGUGACCUGUGAGGGUUGCUGGAGGUAUCAGAAGUGCGAAUGCUGACAUAAGUAACGAUAAAGCGGGUGAAAAGCCCGCUCGCCGGAAGACCAAGGGUUCCUGUCCAACGUUAAUCGGGGCAGGGUGAGUCGACCCCUAAGGCGAGGCCGAAAGGCGUAGUCGAUGGGAAACAGGUUAAUAUUCCUGUACUUGGUGUUACUGCGAAGGGGGGACGGAGAAGGCUAUGUUAGCCGGGCGACGGUUGUCCCGGUUUAAGCAUGUAGGCUGGUUAUCCAGGCAAAUCCGGAUAAUCAAGGCUGAGGUGUGAUGACGAGGCACUACGGUGCUGAAGUAACAAAUGCCCUGCUUCCAGGAAAAGCCUCUAAGCAUCAGGUAACAUCAAAUCGUACCCCAAACCGACACAGGUGGUCAGGUAGAGAAUACCAAGGCGCUUGAGAGAACUCGGGUGAAGGAACUAGGCAAAAUGGUGCCGUAACUUCGGGAGAAGGCACGCUGGUGUGUAGGUGAAGUCCCUGCGGAUGGAGCUGAGACCAGUCGAAGAUACCAGCUGGCUGCAACUGUUUAUUAAAAACACAGCACUGUGCAAACACGAAAGUGGACGUAUACGGUGUGACGCCUGCCCGGUGCCGGAAGGUUAAUUGAUGGGGUUAUCCGUAAGGAGAAGCUCUUGAUCGAAGCCCCGGUAAACGGCGGCCGUAACUAUAACGGUCCUAAGGUAGCGAAAUUCCUUGUCGGGUAAGUUCCGACCUGCACGAAUGGCGUAAUGAUGGCCAGGCUGUCUCCACCCGAGACUCAGUGAAAUUGAACUCGCUGUGAAGAUGCAGUGUACCCGCGGCAAGACGGAAAGACCCCGUGAACCUUUACUAUAGCUUGACACUGAACAUUGAGCCUUGAUGUGUAGGAUAGGUGGGAGGCUUUGAAGCGUGGACGCCAGUCUGCGUGGAGCCAACCUUGAAAUACCACCCUUUAAUGUUUGAUGUUCUAACGUUGGCCCCUUACCGGGGUUGCGGACAGUGUCUGGUGGGUAGUUUGACUGGGGCGGUCUCCUCCCAAAGCGUAACGGAGGAGCACGAAGGUUAGCUAAUCCUGGUCGGACAUCAGGAGGUUAGUGCAAUGGCAUAAGCUAGCUUGACUGCGAGCGUGACGGCGCGAGCAGGUGCGAAAGCAGGUCAUAGUGAUCCGGUGGUUCUGAAUGGAAGGGCCAUCGCUCAACGGAUAAAAGGUACUCCGGGGAUAACAGGCUGAUACCGCCCAAGAGUUCAUAUCGACGGCGGUGUUUGGCACCUCGAUGUCGGCUCAUCACAUCCUGGGGCUGAAGUAGGUCCCAAGGGUAUGGCUGUUCGCCAUUUAAAGUGGUACGCGAGCUGGGUUUAGAACGUCGUGAGACAGUUCGGUCCCUAUCUGCCGUGGGCGCUGGAGAAUUGAGGGGGGCUGCUCCUAGUACGAGAGGACCGGAGUGGACGCAUCACUGGUGUUCGGGUUGUCAUGCCAAUGGCACUGCCCGGUAGCUAAAUGCGGAAGAGAUAAGUGCUGAAAGCAUCUAAGCACGAAACUUGCCCCGAGAUGAGUUCUCCCUGAGACUUUAAGUCUCCUGAAGGAACGUUGAAGACGACGACGUUGAUAGGCCGGGUGUGUAAGCGCAGCGAUGCGUUGAGCUAACCGGUACUAAUGAACCGUGAGGCUUAACCUUACAACGCCGAAG